AUCUCUUUGAGAGUGGGAUGCAGUGGUGGAGGUGUCAAAUAGCAUGCAAGAAGAGUGUAGGUGAAUAGUGAAUACUAGAGUAAAUGGUGUAUAUAUUUUUUGAAUAAUGUAGAUCACAAAUUUCAUUGUUAUGAAUUGAUUUUUAUAUGUCUGAUGGCUACGGCGCGCUUCAUCGGCAGACAUUUAAAUGUAAUGUUUUUAGCUGACAGCGUUUGACAUUAUAAAUCAAAUUGUUAGCUGCCGUCAUCCCUGUAUAAAGCUGCUCAGAUGUCUGGAAGAGAUGACAUGUACUUCCCACCACCACCUCCACCUGUUAUGCCUGUUUUGCUCAAUAGCAUCCCGCAGAUAAAUCCGAUUAGUGCGUGUGGCUUCAUUACUGUACCAGUCAGUGUAAUACCAUGCGGAUUUCAGCAUCCGGAGCAAGAGUUAUUUGAGGCAACGAGACUGCUGUGGGAACGAGAAAGAAGCGAAUAUCCUCCAGAAGUAUUAUGUUACAACCACAUACAGCCAAUACUUCAAGAUGGACCAAAAUGUGGGCUUGUCGCUCUCAGUAUGGCUUCGACUUUGACAAGGCAGCCACUGUCUGUGGAGCAACUUUUCUGGAAGGCAGUUAACCGUGGCUUCAGUCACCAUGGAGAGAUGUUUUCUGUGGACAAUAUGGCAGCACUAGCAGCAGAAACAUUGCAAGACAGUUGUCAGCAAGUUGAGGUACUGAACAGAGGACUUGGUCAUGAUGUGACAUACAUUUUAGGUCAUCUUGCUCAUGGUGCAAUUCUUCUUGUCCCCUAUGAUGCAGAUGCUAACCACGCACCAUGUCUUAGACGUGGACACAAAGCUCACUGGGCUGCUGUGUGUGGGGCAGUAAGACUGGACUCAUCUGCUGUUUAUGUAGUUGCUCGACAGGGAAAGAGUCGUCGUCUGGCUUUGUGGUCAUAUGAAGAACUCCGCCUCAGCAAUGAGAACCUCAUUGAGCUUGAUCCGGACAUUUUGUAAGCCAGGGAAGUGAGCAAAAUGAUAUAUCAACCAAGGAGACUUCCAGGGAAACACUGUUGCACAAUUUGCCAUUCCCUUGCAGGAUAAUAUAUCAGUGUUGUCAGAGAGCCGUGUGUCUGUUGGAGGAAGAGUGGAGGUGAGGAACAAGAAGAUGAGAUACGAGCAGCUGAUGGCCGUGGAUAUGUAUUGCCUCAUGGUGGUGUCGCAGCAGGAUUACGUGGACGUGCCAUUCUCUUACAUGGCCUCAAUUAGUUUACUAGAUAUUUUGUGCACACCAGUGCCAUAAUCCAUCCUUUUGUGCUGGGCAUUGCUGCUUACUGAUGGUUGUCACGGUUGAUGUUACUGAUACAAAUAGUAGUUCUUUUAAAUUAUUAGUGUUCACUGAAGUUCUUCAUUCACAGUUGUGUGUUGCUUAGAGUUAACUUCCUGCUUAUAAGGAGAGAGAUAAAGAUAGGGGCAAAAUGAUUUCUUUACAGAACCAUGCUUUUAUUAUUUAAGGUAUUAUUUGAAUUUAUUUCUGUUCUUAUCAUGGAUCAAGAUUUUUUACCUCACAGGCGUUAAUUUGUGGCAUUUAGACAGUGGAUUUAUUAUGUAAUAUUUUGGUACUGAUGUCAAUUAUUUGGUUGCCUUGUUUCUUCUGUGGCUGCAUUAUUUUGGGUAUAUUGAAAUAAGUACAGUUACACUAUGUGUAGUAGGCAUUGCAGGUACAUUGAUUAUUGGGAUAGGUAAUGGCUUACCUUCACAUGCAGCUUAAUGUCAUUUAAUUUUUUUAGUUGCUGUAUGUGCCAACUUUGUGAACACUUAAAUGUAAACCAGCUUACAUUGUUAAACUGAACUAGUCUGAUGCUACAAGUUAAUGACGACAAACAUGUAAACUAAAAUAUUCUUUUUUAUUUUGUGGUAUGUAAUUUUCUCAUCAGUCUUAAAUGUAAAAAAGUUUCUGGGUCGAUUAGAAGACAAUACUGCAAUUUGCAGAUUUUUAAGUCGUGUAUUGUAAUAUUUCAACGUGUUGUGCAGUAUGAAACUGAAUAGUCGUGUGUAAUGGAAUUUUUGGACUCAUUGAUAGACGUAUAAUACUCACCGAAUAGCAAUUAAAAGCAGCAUUUCUAGCUGUGACACUAUAUUGUUGCAAAAAUUUCUCUUUUGGCCAUUCUUUUUUUGGUUUCUGGGAUCACAUGAAUGUGAUGACUUGAGUGAUAUUUGGUUUGCAUCACCAUUAACAUUUGCAAUGCUGCAAUCAAGAGUUUUUGUCAUUGUGAAUGAGAACUUGCAAAUAUAUGAAAAGGAAUUACUUCAAAGUUUGUAUUCCUGUUGAAAUACAUUUUUCUCAUAAUGUGAUUUGAAAUUGUGCACCACUGAGUAUCAUAACCAUACAGUUCUUCAGCCUGCAUUUAACUUCUCUUUACUUUUUUUUAUUGCCUCAUUACAUUUGUAAGUCAGUUCAAAGGUUUGAGGAAGGCAACAACUUAUCACCUCCAAUAGGACCAUGCUUCAUAAAGUACUGUGGUGUUCAGACCAACCUUCAGGUUGAUGACAGUUUUACUUUUUACUUACACCUGGAGCAUGUCUCAUUUUUCAGUUGCUCUCAGUGGUGUGGAACCAUUAUAGAAAAAAUACUCUGGUGUCAAUUAAGCUCACGUUCUUCCUUACGAAAUGAACAUGCCACCACCUUGAAACUGAUGGUGUUAACGUGCUUCUUCUUCUUCUUCAUUUAAAGCUAGUUUCAAAUUUAAGGUAGAGUUGAAUAAAAAUGCAUUUGAUUCUCAUUUAUGUUAUUUACAGAAAAUAUAUAAAACUUUACUGAGUUUUAUUGUAUUGCAGCUUUGCUUUCCAUUUGUAAAUUAGCAUACUCUAGUCAUAAUAUUGUACACUAAAAGUACCAGUUUGUGCCACAUUUUAAAGGCUUCCAUCAAUGGAGUAUUGGAGUGAACAUUCACGUCUUGCUGCACCAAGAAAUUCUGUUGCUGUGUGUCCUGGUGCAACAUAGUAAAUCCUGUUUGUUUUCUGCUUCUUCUUGAGGAUCUCUUUCACCACAUAUGUUUAAAGGCUAGUGUGAUUUACAUUUCAUUCUGACCCUGCUCCCCUCCUUGACUUGUUAAUUAUUGUUUCCAAGUACUUAGAGUACAAAUAUACAGUUAGAGGGAUGAGGUAGUACCGAGCUCUUCAUUGGCUAUAUCCUUUACUUUACCAGGAAGUGAUCUGAAGAUGUUGCUGAUGAAUCUGGCCUACGCACAUAGAGAAAGCAAUUUUAAUUUUAGAAGAAUUGGCUUUUACAGAAUAUAUGCACUGUAUCUUCCUGAUGUUACCUAUUGUGACAACUGGACGAGUAAUUGUUUUCGCUGUGCGUAAUUUCAGGGUGUUAGUUUUGAAUUUGUGAUGUGUGUGUAACCUGUAUUGUUACUGUUCUUCCAUGAUACGUGUAUUUUAUAACAUAUCUGCCUUUCAUAAUUAACAGUCUGUGAUACAAAAGUUUUAUGAACAUUGUAUACAUGCAUUAGAAGGUAUUCAAGUGGACAGUAUUUGCUUUCUUUCCAAAAUAACAAAGUACUGUACUGUAUUGGAUUGUUUAUAUUUGAGUUUUUGUAGAAUACAAUGGAAGAAAAUUUGACGCACUGUAGUUAAUACUUGAUAUUGAAUGUAUAUUAUCCUUCGAAAAUGUAUAUAAGGAAUAAAUAUUUUAUUUUUUUGUCGGUGUCUACUACUUUGACUUCUUAUUAGAGCUGAAAGACUCUCUUUGGACAUUGAGUUUAUGAUAAUAAGGUAAGAGCACUGGUAAGCAGUGGGUAAUGUUAUAACUGCAAACAGCCAUCACUGAAUAACAAAAACUAGAAAUAUGUAAGACAGAUGUACAGGGUGUUUCAAAAUGAAUUAACUGAUUGUAGCCAUUUAUAUCUAUUGAUACAUGCUGCACAACAAGGAUAAAUUCCAGAAUACCAUA
Molecule: RNA transcript, 3931 nt
Organism: Schistocerca serialis cubense
Lineage: Eukaryota; Metazoa; Arthropoda; Insecta; Orthoptera; Acrididae
Gene name: UPF0692 protein C19orf54 homolog
Exons: 5
Source: RefSeq, a predicted model, not a curated record